UGGGUAUCAAUUUUGAAGUGAAAGUUAUGAUUUAAUGAAAUUUCAGUAGAUCCAAGGGAUGGAGCUGACUCCAGUUUUGGAGGGGUUGACUCAUGUUGGUCAGGUCGACUUGAGUCUCAGAAGAGUCAACUCGAGUUGUGGAAAAAAACAGAUCGAGAUUUUGAAAUUUGGAUGUUUCUUAUCAAAUUUAAAAAGUAUUUAGGGGAG
Molecule: long non-coding RNA, 207 nt
Filed under: Elaeis guineensis (African oil palm)
Lineage: Eukaryota; Viridiplantae; Streptophyta; Magnoliopsida; Arecales; Arecaceae
Description: long non-coding RNA (EGUI_LNC053451)
Source: RNAcentral